GACGAACGCUGGCGGCGUGCUUAACACAUGCAAGUCGAACGGUAAGGCCCUUCGGGGUACACGAGUGGCGAACGGGUGAGUAACACGUGGGUGAUCUGCCCUGCACUUCGGGAUAAGCCUGGGAAACUGGGUCUAAUAACGGAUAGGACUCCUGGCUUCAUGGUUGGGGGUGGAAAGCUUUUGCGGUGUGGGAUGGGCCCGCGGCCUAUCAGCUUGUUGGUGGGGUAAUGGCCUACCAAGGCGACGACGGGUAGCCGGCCUGAGAGGGUGACCGGUCACACUGGGACUGAGAUACGGCCCAGACUCCUACGGGAGGCAGCAGUGGGGAAUAUUGCACAAUGGGCGCAAGCCUGAUGCAGCGACGCCGCGUGAGGGAUGACGGCCUUCGGGUUGUAAACCUCUUUCAGCUAUGACGAAGCGCAAGUGACGGUAGUAGCAGAAGAAGGACCGGCCAACUACAUGCCAGCAGCCGCCGUAA
RNAcentral lists this ribosomal RNA (478 nucleotides) under uncultured bacterium. Its description in RNAcentral is "partial 16S ribosomal RNA". It matches the Rfam family "Bacterial small subunit ribosomal RNA", at positions 28 to 523 of the family's 1533-position model. The record is from RNAcentral.